UUAUGCUAAUAAGAGCGUAUGGUGGAUGCCUUGGCACUAAGAGCCGAUGAAAGACGUGAUAAGCUGCGAAAAGCUUCGGGGAGGAGCAAAUAUCCAUUGAUCCGGAGAUUUCUGAAUGGGGAAACCUACUUGAGAAGACCUCAAGUAUCCACAGCCCAAUCCAUAAGCUGUGGAAGGGAACCCGGUGAACUGAAACAUCUAAGUAGCCGGAGGAAGAGAAAACAACAUGUGAUUCCGUAAGUAGCGGCGAGCGAACGCGGAAGAGCCCAAACCGGAGUGCGUGCACUCCGGGGUUCGGACUGCAGAAUCGAUGAGUGAGCCUAGUAGAAUGGUUUUGGGAAAGCCAGCCAGAGAGGGUGAAAGCCCCGUACACGAAAGGCGAGCGAGCGAAGCAGGAUCCAGAGUACCACGAGACACGUGAAACCUUGUGGGAACGCGCGGGGACCACCCCGUAAGGCUAAAUACUCCUUAGUGACCGAUAGCGCAUAGUACUGUGAAGGAAAGGUGAAAAGGACCCCGGGAGGGGAGUGAAAGAGAACCUGAAACCCUGUGUCUACAAGCUGUGGAAGCACUUUAUAUGUGCGACCGCGUACUUUUUGUAGAACGGUCCGGCGAGUUACGCUUACUGGCAAGGUUAAGCACUUCAGGUGUGGAGCCGUAGGGAAACCAAGUCUUAAGAGGGCCAGAGUCAGUAGGAGUAGACCCGAAACCGGGUGAUCUAUCCAUGUCCAGGUUGAAGCUGCCGUAAGAGGUAGUGGAGGACCGAACCCACAUCCGUUGAAAAGGGUGGGGAUGAGGUGUGGAUAGGGGAGAAAUUCCAAUCGAACCCGGAGAUAGCUGGUUCUCCUCGAAAUAGCUUUAGGGCUAGCCUCAUGCAAGUCUUACGGAGGUAGAGCACUGAAUUCCUAAGGGGGCGUCAAAGCUUACCAAGGGAUAUCAAACUCCGAAUGCCGUGUAGAUGGUGCAUGGGAGUCAGACUAUCCGAGAUAAGUUGGGUAGUCAAAAGGGAAAGAGCCCAGACCUACAGCUAAGGUCCCAAAAUGUGUGUUAAGUGGAAAAGGAUGUGGGAUUUCGAAGACAACUAGGAUGUUGGCUUAGAAGCAGCCAUCCAUUAAAAGAGUGCGUAAUAGCUCACUAGUCGAGAGGUCCUGCGCCGAAAAUGUCCGGGGCUGAAACACACUACCGAAGCUUAGGAAUUGAUGAAUGUCAAUUGGUAGAGGAGCAUUCUUAACGGGGCGAAGCUGUACCGGAAGGAGCAGUGGACUGUUAAGAAGAGAGAAUGCCGGAAUGAGUAGCGAGAGGAAGGUGAGAAUCCUUCCGGCCGAAUAUCUAAGGUUUCCAGAGUAAAGCUGAUCUGCUCUGGGUAAGUCGGGGCCUAAGGCGAGGUCGAAAGACGUAGUCGAUGGAUAACAGGUAAAGAUUCCUGUACUAUAUCAUAACAGAACUGUGGGGACGCAGACAGAGAGCAUAAGCCGGGAAUGGAAAAACCGGUACAAGCGAGGUAGGAGUGCAUCAGGCAAAUCCGGUGCACAAUCUGAAGACGUGAUGUGGGGCGUAAAGCCGGAAGUAUGUGAGCUGGCUGCCAAGAAAAGCCGCUAUUGUUUAUGAUAUACCCGUACCGUAAACCGACACAGGUGGAUGAGGAGAGAAUCCUAAGGCCGACGGGAGAAGCAUUGUUAAGGAACUCGGCAAAAUGACUCCGUAACUUCGGGAGAAGGAGUGCCAUGUAAAAGUGGCCGCAGAGAAUUGGCCCAAGCAACUGUUUAGCAAAAACACAGGUCUAUGCAAAACCGAAAGGUGAGGUAUAUGGGCUGACGCCUGCCCGGUGCUGGAAGGUUAAGGGGAGAGGUUAGUCGUAAGGCGAAGCUUUGAACUUAAGCCCCAGUAAACGGCGGCCGUAACUAUAACGGUCCUAAGGUAGCGAAAUUCCUUGUCGGGUAAGUUCCGACCC
RNAcentral lists this ribosomal RNA (1951 nucleotides) under human gut metagenome. Its description in RNAcentral is "bacterial LSU rRNA". It matches the Rfam family "Bacterial large subunit ribosomal RNA", at positions 1 to 1989 of the family's 2925-position model. The record is from RNAcentral.